This 253-nucleotide ribosomal RNA is filed under the name uncultured bacterium. RNAcentral describes it as "partial 16S ribosomal RNA". It matches the Rfam family "Bacterial small subunit ribosomal RNA", at positions 524 to 776 of the family's 1533-position model. The record is from RNAcentral.
UACAGAGGUCUCAAGCGUUGUUCGGAUUCAUUGGGCGUAAAGGGUGCGUAGGCGGCGCGGUAAGUCGGGUGUGAAAUCUCGGGGCUUAACUCCGAAACUGCAUUCGAUACUGCCGUGCUUGAGGACUGGAGAGGAGACUGGAAUUUACGGUGUAGCGGUGAAAUGCGUAGAUAUCGUAAGGAAGACCAGUGGCGAAGGCGGUUCUCUGGGCCUUACCUGACGCUGAGGAGCGAAAGCGUGGGGAGCGAACAGG